AAUUUUGGACAAUGGGGGAAACCCUGAUCCAGCCAUCCCGCGUGUAUGAUGAAGGCCUUCGGGUUGUAACCUUCUUUGAUGAGGGACGAAAAAAAUGACGGUACCUCAAAAACAAGCCACGGCUAACUACGUGCCAGCAGCCGCGGUAAUACGUAGGUGGCGAGCGUUGUCCGGAAUUAUUGGGCGUAAAGGGCGCGUAGGCGGUUUCUUAAGUCAGAUGUGAAAACCCGGGGCUCAACUCCGGGCAUGCAUUUGAAACUGGGGAACUAGAGUGCAGGAGAGGUAAGUGGAAUUCCUAGUGUAGCGGUGAAAUGCGUAGAGAUUAGGAGGAACACCAGUGGCGAAGGCGGCUUACUGGACUGUAACUGACGCUGAGGCGCGAAAGCGUGGGGAGCAAACAGG
Molecule: ribosomal RNA, 402 nt
Filed under: uncultured bacterium
Lineage: Bacteria
Description: partial 16S ribosomal RNA
Rfam family: Bacterial small subunit ribosomal RNA
Source: RNAcentral